ACAGUUUUGACCGACAAAAGAACAGGGGGAGGAGAAAGAAGGGGAAGGGCUAUGAGGUGAAAGGCAGAUCAGAAAUAAGCCCAGCUUGGAAGAAAGUGAGGAUCCCAACCUGGCAGAGAAAGAGGAGCUGAUGAAGGAGACUAGAGAAGGACCCGUCUGGAAAUACAGAACUUGGUCCAAGUAAAGGAGGACCUUGAAGGAAAUACACCUGAGAGACCAAAUGCAUACAAUGAAUCCAGCAAUUACCAACCACCAUGGGCGGACAGCAAAUGCUCAAACAACAAAACACCCAAGGAUGGGCGGCUGCUGGCUUCUGACUUUCCUCAUGGGGAUGGGGGUCCCAGAUCUGGGUCUAGGACUCCCUCCCACUUCUGUCCUGGGACAGCUGAUUUCAAUACUGCCAAAGACGUGGAACUUUUCUUAAGAAGGUUCUCUCCUGAUUUAUUUUGAGUAAACAACUGAUACAGGUUAUGUAUAGUGCUGGGAAAACUAAUGCAGAGAAAGAGGAGGGACAUAACUAGUUUUGUUGUCAUCUGUGGAACAUUUAAUUGCAAAAUUGUUGAAAGGAAAAUUAGACCUCUCUUUCCCCCUCCCCGCCCCCCCAAGUAUGGCUUUGGCAGAAAAAUCCCAAAGAAAAUUAGAAAGUGGAGAUUAAGGGUGAAGAUAGGGAGAGACAUUCAAAAACACCACCACCAUUUCAUACCUUUGGGGCUGAGUUCUUUAGUCAUUCAACAAGCAUUUCUUGACCACAUUCUAUGUAUUGGACACCGUUUUACUGAGCAAGACAAUUUAGAAUGAGGUUGUGAACAUGAACUUGGAGCUACCUGGGUUUGUAAUCCCAGUUCAGCCACCUACUAGCUACGUGUCCUUGAGCCAUCUACUUAAACUAUCUGUGCCUCCUUUCUCUCACUUGUUGAAUGGAAAUAAUACCAUUAAGUCCUUCAUAAGGUCUCUGUGAAAUGGAAAUAAUAAUAUUUCUUACCCCAUAGGGUCAUUGUGAGGAUUAAAUUGGUUAAUGCCUGUGAAGCACUUAGAAAAAUUCUUGGUACAUAUUAACUACCAAGUACAUAUUAGCUCUUAUUUGGUGGUGAUGUUGUGUUGCUGUUUAACAUGAACGAAUGUGCCAUGUGACAUUUUGCGUAAAUGAUGAUGAAAGGGAAGAAACAUUACCCCAAACCUAUUAGUGAAAGACUGGGUAGACAUGGUUUUUACUCAUGCUCCCUCCUGCAGAUAGUAAAUUACUUAGGAAGUUGUUUUUGUCACUUUCUACUUUGGUCCCCAAACAUCAAGAACAUGGUUUCUUUAAAUAAUUCUUGAAAAAUUGUUAGAACAACAAUGAUAUGGGCUAUCCAUAGGAACAUGUAGAAAGCAUGUUUGCAAUCACCUACCUGAAAAUUAGAAUUAUCAUCUUGGGUAUGUUAAAUUGAAUUAAGUUUGGCCCAAAGCUGCCUCCAUCCAUAUUUUAAGGUUGGCCUAACAGCUUCUCCACGCAUAGCAAACUGUAACCUAACCUGAUGGUUAAACAGACAGUAGCCUACGAUUGUAACAAGUAGCCAAGUCUCAGUCAAUCUGAGCAGUUGAGUUUCAGCCAAUCAUGGGGACCAACUGUUCAACCUGUGUUCUUAAAAGGCGAACACUGAGCUAUCACCAAUUCAGCUGUUUCUGUACCCACUUCUAUUUUGUGUACGUCACUUUUCUUUUUCUGUCUGUAAAUAUUAUCCAUGCAGCAGUCCUGGGGUUGCUCUGAAUCUAUUCUGGUUUGGGGGUGGGGCGGGGUGGGGGGGUGCCCGAUUCAUGAGUCGUUGUUUGUUCCUACAUUCUGUUAAAU
RNAcentral lists this long non-coding RNA (1828 nucleotides) under Homo sapiens (human). RNAcentral describes it as "HSALNT0273157". The record is from RNAcentral. Lineage: Eukaryota; Metazoa; Chordata; Mammalia; Primates; Hominidae.